This 381-nucleotide unclassified non-coding RNA is filed under the name Hevea brasiliensis (rubber tree). Lineage: Eukaryota; Viridiplantae; Streptophyta; Magnoliopsida; Malpighiales; Euphorbiaceae. The record is from RNAcentral.
UUUGUUUUCCCAUAACAAUAUUACACUUGAAGGCCGUUAUCAUUUGAUGUUAGCUCUACGAAUUGGACAAGAAUUGAUAAUUGAUUCUGAUGGGAAAACAAAUAACCUCUGACGUGUCACUGUGCACUAGCAAGCUUCAUCAAAGUCUUCCAAGUGGCCAGCCACAACUUGUUAUUACUCCUUAAGUCAGAAACAGAUUUAUCAAAUUGCAUAUAGCUCUAACUUUGAUCUUCUGACUUGUUGCAAGGAAGCAAUUGCGCGAGAUCCAAAUGCAAGCUUAAACACAAAUUGCUCUGAACUCCCCAAGAGAAUUGAAUGGGGCAACAGUGUGGAAAUGUUCCAUCUUCCCAUUAAUGUUAAACUUUCAAACAAUUGUUAGUG